RNAcentral lists this ribosomal RNA (193 nucleotides) under uncultured bacterium. RNAcentral describes it as "partial 16S ribosomal RNA". It matches the Rfam family "Bacterial small subunit ribosomal RNA", at positions 337 to 522 of the family's 1533-position model. The record is from RNAcentral.
UCCUACGGGAGGCAGCAGUCAGGAAUAUUGCGCAAUGGAGGAAACUCUGACGCAGCGACGCCGCGUGGGUGAUGAAGGCCUUCGGGUCGUAAAGUACUUUCAGCGGGGAGGAAGGGAGUAAAGUUAAUACCUUUGCUCAUUGACGUUACCCGCAGAAGAAGCACCGGCUAACUCCGUGCCAGCAGCCGCGGUA